AGCGAACGCUGGCGGCAGGCUUAACACAUGCAAGUCGAGCGGGCAUCCUUGUGGUGUCAGCGGCAGACGGGUGAGUAACGCGUGGGAACGUGCCCUUCGGUUCGGAAUAACUCAGGGAAACUUGAGCUAAUACCGGAUACGUGCGAGAGCAGAAAGGUUUAUCUGCCGAAGGAUCGGCCCGCAUCUGAUUAGCUAGUUGGUGAGGUUAUGGCUCACCAAGGCGACGAUCAGUAGCUGGUCUGAGAGGAUGAUCAGCCACACUGGGACUGAGACACGGCCCAGACUCCUACGGGAGGCAGCAGUGGGGAAUAUUGGACAAUGGGGGCAACCCUGAUCCAGCCAUGCCGCGUGAGUGAUGACGGCCUUAGGGUUGUAAAGCUCUUUUCUCCGGGACGAUAAUGACGGUACCGGAGGAAUAAGCCCCGGCUAACUUCGUG
RNAcentral lists this ribosomal RNA (437 nucleotides) under uncultured bacterium. RNAcentral's name for it is "partial 16S ribosomal RNA". It matches the Rfam family "Bacterial small subunit ribosomal RNA", at positions 29 to 507 of the family's 1533-position model. The record is from RNAcentral.